Molecule: ribosomal RNA, 501 nt
Filed under: uncultured bacterium
Lineage: Bacteria
Description: bacterial SSU rRNA
Rfam family: Bacterial small subunit ribosomal RNA
Source: RNAcentral
AUGAACGCUAGCUACAGGCUUAACACAUGCAAGUCAGGGGCAGCAUGAGAUUAGCUUGCUAAUCUUGAUGGCGACCGGCGCACGGGUGAGUAACGCGUAUCCAACCUUCCCCCUACUCAGGCAUAGCCCGGUGAAAACCGGAUUAACUCCUGAUAGUUUCACUAGAUGGCAUCUGACGGUGAAUAAAGCUUUGGUGGUGCGAGAUGGGCAUGCGUGACAUUAGCUAGUUGGCGGGGCAACGGCCCACCAAGGCGACGAUGUCUAGGGGAGCUGAGAGGCUUAUCCCCCACACUGGUACUGAGACACGGACCAGACUCCUACGGGAGGCAGCAGUGAGGAAUAUUGGUCAAUGGACGGAAGUCUGAACCAGCCAUGCCGCGUGGAGGAAAAGAAGGUCCUAUGGGUUGUAAACUCCUUUUGUUCCAGAGUAAUAAGGUCUUUGCGAAGACUGAUGAGAGUAUGGGACGAAUAAGCAUCGGCUAACUCCGUGCCAGCCGCAGC